AACUUUCGGCAACGGAUCUCUUGGCUCUCGCAUCUAUGAAGAACGCAGCGAAAUGCGAUAAGGAAUGUGAAUUGCAGAAUUCAGUGAAUCAUCGAAUCUUUGAACGCACCUUGCGCCCUUUGGCCAUUCCGAAGGGCAUGCCUGUUUGAGUAUCAUGAAUACCUCAACUCCUCAUGGUUCGCUGUGAUGAGCUUGGACUUUGGGGGUCUUGCUGGCCUGUGGUCAGCUCCUCUCAAACGAAUCAGCUUGCCAGUGUUUGGUGGCAUCACAGGUGUGAUAACUAUCUACGCUUGUGUGGUCUUCCACCGGAUAACCUUCAGCUAUGGAGGUCCACUGGAGCUCAUAAAUGUCUCUUCUCAGCGAGGACAGCUCUUUGAAUGUUUGAUCUCAAAUCAGGUAGGACUACCCGCUGAACUUAAGCAUAUCAAUAAGCGGAGGCU
This 440-nucleotide unclassified non-coding RNA is filed under the name uncultured Thelephoraceae. Its description in RNAcentral is "sequence contains ITS2". The stretch from base 1 to 155 matches the Rfam family "5.8S ribosomal RNA". The record is from RNAcentral. Lineage: Eukaryota; Fungi; Basidiomycota; Agaricomycetes; Thelephorales; Thelephoraceae.